Molecule: long non-coding RNA, 3436 nt
Filed under: Salmo salar (Atlantic salmon)
Lineage: Eukaryota; Metazoa; Chordata; Actinopteri; Salmoniformes; Salmonidae
Description: lncRNA (ENSSSAG00000105902.1)
Source: RNAcentral
CAGAGAGAGAGAGAGAGAGAGAAGGGGGAAAGUGAGAAAGAAAGGAUGAAUGUGACAGGUGGGAAGAGAGAGAGAGAGAGAGAGAGAGAGAGAGAGAGAGAAGAAAGAAAGAAAGAAAGCAGUGCAAUUUACUUAGACUUGAGUAUUUCAACAACUCUUGUCUUUCAACUUGUUAGACAAUCACAUGUACCUACGGGGGAAGGAUGGCCAGCCACACAGGAGGGUGAUUUUCACUGAGGAGGAGGCCGCGCUGACCGAGAUGCAUGCUGGCCAUUUCGGUGUGAAGCACAUGAUUGCCAAAAUCAACCUACGCUUCUUCUGUCGUGGGAUUGUCAAGGAUGUGGACAGCUGGGUCAGUACCUGUCUAGCCUGACAGAAGUUUGUGAGGGUGAAGAUUGUGGGCGCUGGAGUUGUUUCACCAUGGCACAUGAUCGGUAAGAGUCACAUUUCAAAUUUUGCCCUGAUAAGUUGUUUUGUAAUGGUUGCUUCAUUUGAUCACAGCAGAGAUCAAUAUUAUAGAAUGUGUGUGUGUGUCAGUAUCCUUACAAAUAUGCAAACCUGCAUAAUGUAUGACAGAUACGGCUAAGAAGGAAGUAAUCUUCUCUCUAAGACUUGAAAUGUUAGGGGUGGACCUCAGACUCUUCACAAAAUCCAGGAAUAGCAACAGCUGGUGUCUAAAACAGCAACUGAUUACUUUACCAAGUGGGUGGAGGCAAUACCCAUUAAGGUCAGUAAAGGAAGAAAAUGUGCUUAACUCAAAAAUUCCCUUCUGUAACCCAUUAAAAAGGGUGCUUGGAACCAAACCUUUAUUUUCAUUUUGUAUGAUACCCAUCAAGGACCAGACUUACGAGGCCACCUCCAGGGCUUUGAUGGACAUCCUCAACACCCACAGUUCUCCUGAGGUCAUCUUAAGUGACCGAGGUCGUGAACUCUGGAAAAAGGUUUGGAUGAACGGACGAACCAGAUCCUCAAAACUGCCAUGGAGUUGACGGGUACCAGGAAUGGUGAGAGGACAACCUGAAGGUAAUUCUCUUUGCACACAACAGCAGCGUCCAGUCCUCCACCGAGUACUUUCCCUAUUGCCUGCUGUACAGUUGGGAGCCGCAGCUGUUGACUGAGGUAAUAUACUGUUCUUUCAAAUUUGUGAUUGACUUAGUGUUGUUGUUUGCCAAAUUAUUUUUGUGGGGGGGUUGUCUGUUUUGCAUGUUAUUUUGACAUUAAUACGUGUCACUUAUCAGUUUGCAAACGAUGUAAAAAAUGUAAUAAAAAUAAUAGCGUUAGUAAUGGUCUCUUUUUUGCUUUCUUGAGUAAGGCAACUCCAAAAUGCAGGUGUUUCAGUCUAGCUCUGUGCUUUCUGUGGUGAUGGGGCAGCCAGCAGAAAAUAUGGAGCGUAGGGGUUGGUAAUGUUCUCUAGUUGCGCCGUGAUUGGCUCAGUUUUCUGUCACUCAUGGGGACACUACGUCGCCGCUAAAAAAAUUCAAGCCCCUUAGGGGCUAAAAUAGAGUUACAUUAGAAGUGCCUAUCCAAAAAGGCUCAAGGUCAUUGGCCACAGAUAAAAUUACUUCAAAUCAUGUUAUAUAGUAGCUUUGAUUUGGACUGAUCAUGUCAACAUCAUACUUUCAAAAUCUUAGCUAGCACUCGUCAUCAUUAAUCAAGUCGACAAUAUACUGGAAAAUCCUUUUUUAAUCCUUGUCAUAUGAAGAGAAAUAAUGAAGAGAAAUUAUAGAUAAAACGUAUCGGUUACCAUCGGACAUAAACAUUACACAACAAGUUGGAAAUCGCAAAUUCAACAACAAAUCUGUAUUUAAGGGUCUCUUUUCCAAGCUUAAAAAAUUAUAAACAUUCAACAUUGUCCAUGCUGUCAAUCCAGCAUGAUUUCUGCCACGCUCAAAACAACUGUUAUCUCGGAACUGGGAAUCUGAUUUCAGUGAGUUCAAGACAACUGGGAACUCAGGGAAAAAACAAGCUCCGACUGGGAAAAUACGUUUUGAACGGUCAUCCAACUCGGAACGGUAAGUCGGGAACUCUGGCCUCUUUCUAGAGGUACGACCUGAAGAUCACUGACAUCAUCAUGAUUCAACCUUGUUUUGUUCCGAGUUCCUAGUUGUCUUGAAAGCACCAUAAAUCCAGAGAAUGCCAGACUUUGAUGACACAGUUUGAUGACAAAAUUUGCCCACGAAGGACUGCCGCACCACCUUCCUGUUCAAGUGAGCACAGCACAACAAGUUGAGUCCAAAAAUGUAUUGUAUGCUCCUGCAUAAAUUAUUCAAUAUGCCUGGGAGAUAUGUAUAUUGUGUAGCUAAGAAAGUAAUACUAAGUGUAUGUUAGUAACCCAUGUGUCUCACUCUAAUAAUUUGGUCUAUUUUCCCCUCUUCAUUUUGCCAACUGUUCUGACUUGGUUGUGCACAUUUAGCCUAUAACCUGUUUUAUAGAAAUGUAAUCAUUGAAUAUUGUAAGAGCUUUUGUUGUCUGCUUAUAUGCCCCUUUUAUUUAUCAUAUGGUUCUGACUUGGUGUACAGGGAGAACACUGACGCAAAGGCCAAUGUUCUGAAUUCUGUCGCUGUACAUUUCAAACGUGCUGAACAAAUUGUUAUGUUGACUACGUCCGUCCUAGCUCACUCAUUAAUGUCUUAAUCAAAAUGACGGAUUACCUCUUAUCUGCUUGUCGUCCCCUUAUGCCAUAGUUUGUACAUCUCAAUUGUCAGUAUAAACCAAAUUUUGUUAAGCAAGUCAGCCAUUUCAGAUAUGAUUUUUUUAAAGGUAGUAAAUGAAGCUGAAUUAACUGUUUCGCUGCCAGACAAGGCUCUGCUUAUAGCCAGGUGUAGAAGUGGUAAGGUGUUGGGACAGCUUUAUGUAUCCCCAAACAGUUUGUGGGCACUGUAUCAAAUAAAAUAAAAAAUGGCCACAUGCACCUUACAGUGAAAUGCUUACUUACAAGCCCAAACCAACAAUGCAGUUUUAAGAAAAAUAAGUAAAAAAUAAAAAAUAAAAGUAACAAAUAAUUAAGGAGCAUCAGUAAAAUAACAAUAGCGAGGCUAUAUACAGGGGGUACUGGUAAAUAGUUAAUGUUCGAGGGCACCGGUUAGUCGAGGUAAUUGAGAUAAUAUAUACAUGUAGGUAGAGUUAAAGUGACUAUGCAUAGAUAAUAAACAGAGUAGCAGCAGCGUAAAAUAUGGGUGGGUGGGCAAUGUAAAUAGUCUGGUUAGCCAUUUGAUUAGCUGAUCAGGAGCAUGGCUUGGGGGUAGAAGCUGUUAAGAAGCCUUUUCAACCUAGAUUUGGUGCGCCGGUACCGCUUGCCGUGUGGUAGCAGAAAGAACAGUCUAUGACUAGUGUGGCUGGAGUCUAUGAUGAUUUUUAGGGCCUUCCUCUGACACCGCCUGGUAUAGAGGUCCUGGAUGGCAGGAAGCUUGACCUCAGUAAUGUACUGGGCCAUACG